This 1113-nucleotide unclassified non-coding RNA is filed under the name Hevea brasiliensis (rubber tree). Lineage: Eukaryota; Viridiplantae; Streptophyta; Magnoliopsida; Malpighiales; Euphorbiaceae. The record is from RNAcentral.
AACACCGGCGGCUUCUCUUCCUCACAGAGAGUCGCAAAACCAAGAAAAGAAAGAAACAAUAAUUGUGUUGCAGAAAUUUUAGGAAAGUUUCCAUUUUCACUCAUCCAUCCACAGAGUCUCCAUUAACCAUUCAUUCAUGGCUUCCUCUGCUAUUUUCAACUUUCUGCCAUCAUCUUCAUCGUCAUUGAGUACUCUUUCCUUUAGAAACAGCAGAACUCAAACCCCAAUUUUUUACAAACCCCUUAUAGUCAAAGCUUCUACUUCUGUCGAUUAUUCUUCCUCCUCCCUCGCCGGUAUAUCUACAAAGAAUAAUAACUGGGUAUGGAAAUACAAGGACAAUUCUGUGAAUAUUUACUACGAGGAACACCACAAGGGAAGCGAUGAGCCUUGUAAGAACAUUUUGAUGAUUCCCACUAUUUCAGAUGUUAGUACUGUUGAGGAAUGGAGAUCAGUGGCUAAAGACAUUGCUGGACGAGAUGGUAAAGUUAAUUACAGAACUGCCAUUGUGGAUUGGCCUGGUUUAGGUUACUCUGAUAGACCUAAGCUUGAUUACAAUGCUGAUGUUAUGGAAAAGUUUUUGGUAGACUUCAUCAAUGCUCCUGAUAGUCCGGUGAACAAUUCGGAUAAGGACUUGGUGGUGUUUGGAGGAGGACAUGCUGCUACCUUAGCAGUUCGUGCUGCAAAGAAGGGCUUGGUUAAGCCAAAAGCAAUUGCUUCUAUUGCUCCCACCUGGGCUGGUCCACUUCCUAUUGUUUUUGGAAGAGAUUCCAGCAUGGAAACAAGGUAUGGUUUCCUUAGAGGGACCUUAAGGGCCCCUGCUGUUGGUUGGAUGAUGUAUAAUGUACUUGUUAGCAAUGAGAAAUCAAUAACAUCACAAUAUAAGUCCCAUGUUUAUGCUGACCCUGAAAAGGUAACUCCAUAUAUCAUCGAGAGCCGAUUUGCACUCACUAAACGGCAAGGUGCUCGCUAUGUGCCUGCUGCUUUCUUGACUGGUUUACUUGACCCAGUAAAGUCCAGGGAGGAAUUUGUCCAACUCUUUGCAGAGUUGGAGGGUAACAUACCGUGUCUAGUUCUGGCAACAGCAGGUUCUCCGAAGAGGUCAAAAGCAGAGAU